UACGAAGGGGGCUAGCGUUGCUCGGAAUUACUGGGCGUAAAGGGAGCGUAGGCGGACAUUUAAGUCAGAGGUGAAAUCCCGGAGCUUAACUUCGGAACUGCCUUUGAUACUGGGUGUCUUGAGUGUGAGAGAGGUAUGUGGAACUCCGAGUGUAGAGGUGAAAUACGUAGAUAUUCGGAAGAACACCAGUGGCGAAGGCGACAUACUGGCUCAUUACUGACGCUGAGGCUCGAAAGCGUGGGGAGCAAACAGG
Molecule: ribosomal RNA, 253 nt
Filed under: uncultured bacterium
Lineage: Bacteria
Description: partial 16S ribosomal RNA
Rfam family: Bacterial small subunit ribosomal RNA
Source: RNAcentral